AUUGACCCAUGAGGAUUUACUUAAAUCCUCCUUGGUUAUAGGCCUCCAAAGACAAAGCCAUAUCCAUGGCAACCACAGGCGACCCAGCAGAAGAGAGAGCACAUUAGAGCCCGAGCAUAAUAGCUGUUUACUGAUGACUAAGGUCUUGAAAGCAAUACUGUACAUCCCAACUCCCGGCUCAGGCAGGACUCCAGCCCGUCCUCAUCCUCCAGACCCAGCAAUCUAUAUAAUCAGAGACACAGAAAGGAAGAGAAGCCCUUUGCCCAGCCCUCAAAUGUUCCUCCUCCCUGGGAGGGAGGAAUGUGCCCCUUCUCACAAGCCUCGAGAUGAUCCCGCAGGAAAGGAAAUGGUGGCCAACAUGAGAAGAAGGCAGAGAUGGGGUGCCAAUAAGAUCUGGUAGGCACACCAACUUGAGUAAAGAAAGGGCUGUGCAGUCCAAGUAUUUCCCCCGUUUCUGACGCAGGAGCACAAAACAAGAACCCUCACUGCUCUCGUCCAGCUCCUGCACAAGAACAUUCGCACCUCAGGCUCAGCAAGAGCUCCCAGGCAGCUAGUCCCACUAUUCCUCAGAAAAAUGAAGAAGUCGGAUUUGAAGAAAAUACAGAAUUUCCCCUAAGGUUACACAUUGGCAGAUCUCUUCCAAGUCCUCUGUCAAAAUUGAAGCUGUGCUCCCUCCCACCCACCUACCCCAGGCUAUUUGAUUCACUCCAGCUUUAUUUCUCUAUAAAACUGGUAGCUGUUUGCCUAUUAUUACAGAUGACAAAAGAAAGGUUACACAGUCUGGGACAGCUUUGCCAAGAAAUUCAAAAUAUUUGCAGACCCACUAAAGUCCCAGCAGGCCCCAAGUGGAAGCAAUCACUGUGACCAAACCUUUGAUGCCAGAUCUAAAGUCUGAAAGCUCCGUGCUGAAAAGUGGGGCCCUGUUUCUUGUCACGAGUGCCCCAGGGACUCUUUGUUUUAGAUCCCAGUGAUCUGAAGAUGUUUAGGCUGCUCCAUUUUUGCCAUCACAGAGAGAGAACUUCGUAGAAUUGCUAGGAAAUAGAGCCAGCUCUCUAUGUCCGGGGAAUUUUCCACAGUGUCCUUGCCAGAAAGGGAGCCUGAGCUCGAGUUACAGGGUGAAGCAAAAAGGAUUUGCCAAGGGCUCCAUUCAGAGCUGUGUGCUGGGCAACCACUCACUGUGUGGGACCAGCUUUUGUGCUCCAAAAGCCUCGUGCAAGUAGCCAAGGCUCCCUGACCAGAAAUGCUAGCUUUUUCCAAGUUUAGACUGGUUGAGAAUUUUGCCAAAAAAAAAAAAAGUCUGGUCUAGCUACAGCAUCCAGGGCAGGCAGAAACCGUGAAGCAACAUUGUCCCGCGGGCAAUGCCUUCUGCUCAGCAUCUGGUCACUGAGGUCAUUUUCCUCGCCAGUGGCUUGUGGCCCAAGCAGAAGCUGGCGAACGAAUCCACGACAUGAACUUAAGAAACAGUCUUUCGUUGGCUGCACACUUGAUCCCUCAGAACACCCCCGAGAGUCGUUAUACUUGUUUGACCCGACUCGGCACUGGGCGUUGGGCAAGUCAGUGGGUAAGGAAAGGAACAGAGGACCUCGAGUGUCCACAGUGGAAUUCAGCUUCAAUGCCAGGGACAGGCAUCGACACCUCGUCCUCUAACAGUAAACAACAAAACAAAACAUAACCCCACACAACCAACUCAACUGCCACCCCUCCUCCCCAACCACACCUCACCCUGAAAAUGUUCAAGGAAAUACAAGUGUUGCUUCCUCUGUCUCCUGGUGGAAGAGUGGAACCCUAGGUUUUCUCUUCCAGUGUCUCCGUAUGCUCUCCACCCUCUACUUCCAAGCCCAUUACCCUCCACCCACCAGCAUCUACCUUGACCUCUUGGUCACACACCUGAGGACGGCAGCAAAGUUGUAAUUGGUACCUUGAAUCUACAUAAUCCCCUGGCUCCUUCUGUUGACCCUCGUCACUUAACUUCUUGUAACUUUUUGUUUUGAAAUAGUUACAGACUCACAAGGAGUGGCAAAACAUUUAAAUUUUAACAGUAAUUUACCUGAGGGAAGAGCUGUAGCCUUGUUCACUAUGUCUCCCUUCCCUAGAAGUCUCUUGACCCUGUGGUGGAUACAACCUGAGGAAAGGAUUCGUUGGAUAGGAGACUGGAAAUGUAUGAACUCUUGGGGUCUAACUUUCUUGGAAGAAGGGUGAUUAUCUAUGUAUAUAUGUAUAUGUAUGUAGCUGUAUUUAUAUCAUGCCCUCAGAAGAUCAUGUUUAUUUUUUUUAACGUUUAUUGAUUUUUGAGACAGAG
This is a long non-coding RNA of Felis catus (domestic cat), 2299 nucleotides long. RefSeq lists it as uncharacterized. The record is from RefSeq and is a predicted model, not a curated record. Lineage: Eukaryota; Metazoa; Chordata; Mammalia; Carnivora; Felidae. The transcript is spliced from 3 exons.